CAGCCGCCGCGGGAAUACGAAGGGGGCUAGCGUUAAUCGGAAUUACUGGGCGUAAAGCGUGCGCAGGCGGUUUGUUAAGACAGAUGUGAAAUCCCCGGGCUCAACCUGGGAACUGCAUUUGUGACUGGCAGGCUAGAGUAUGGCAGAGGGGGGUGGAAUUCCGCGUGUAGCAGUGAAAUGCGUAGAUAUGCGGAGGAACACCGAUGGCGAAGGCAGCCCCCUGGGCCAAUACUGACGCUCAUGCACGAAAGCGUGGGGAGCAGACAGGAUUAGAUACCCCCGUAGUCCCUGUCUCUUAUAC
This 301-nucleotide ribosomal RNA is filed under the name uncultured bacterium. Its description in RNAcentral is "partial 16S ribosomal RNA". It matches the Rfam family "Bacterial small subunit ribosomal RNA", at positions 509 to 807 of the family's 1533-position model. The record is from RNAcentral.